RNAcentral lists this ribosomal RNA (492 nucleotides) under uncultured bacterium. RNAcentral's name for it is "partial 16S ribosomal RNA". It matches the Rfam family "Bacterial small subunit ribosomal RNA", at positions 29 to 507 of the family's 1533-position model. The record is from RNAcentral.
AGUGAACGCUGGCGGUAGGCCUAACACAUGCAAGUCGAACGGCAGCACAGUAAGAGCUCGCUCUUACGGGUGGCGAGUGGCGGACGGGUGAGGAAUACAUCGGAAUCUACUUUUUAGUGGGGGAUAACGUAGGGAAACUUACGCUAAUACCGCAUACGACCUACGGGUGAAAGCAGGGGAUCUUCGGAUCUCGCGCGAUUGAAUGAGCCGAUGUCGGAUUAGCUAGUUGGCGGGGUAAAGGCCCACCAAGGCGACGAUCCGUAGCUGGUCUGAGAGGAUGAUCAGCCACACUGGAACUGAGACACGGUCCAGACUCCUACGGGAGGCAGCAGUGGGGAAUAUUGGACAAUGGGCGCAAGCCUGAUCCAGCCAUACCGCGUGUGUGAAGAAGGCCUUCGGGUUGUAAAGCCCUUUUGUUGGGAAAGAAAAGCAGCAGGUUAAUACCCCGCUGUUCUGACGGUACCCAAAGAAUAAGCACCGGCUAACUUCGUG